UGGGGGAUAUUGCACAAUGGGCGCAAGCCUGAUGCAGCGACGCCGCGUGAGCGAAGAAGUAUUUCGGUAUGUAAAGCUCUAUCAGCAGGGAAGAAAAUGACGGUACCUGACUAAGAAGCUCCGGCUAAAUACGUGCCAGCAGCCGCGGUAAUACGUAUGGAGCAAGCGUUAUCCGGAAUUACUGGGUGUAAAGGGAGCGUAGGCGGCAAGGCAAGUCUGAUGUGAAAACCCAGGGCCCAACCCUGGGACUGCAUUGGAAACUGUAUUGCUUGAGUACCGGAGAGGCAGGCGGAAUUCCUAGUGUAGCGGUGAAAUGCGUAGAUAUUAGGAGGAACACCAGUGGCGAAGGCGGCCUGCUGGACGGUAACUGACGCUGAGGCUCGAAAGCGUGGGGAGCAAACAGG
This 404-nucleotide ribosomal RNA is filed under the name uncultured bacterium. RNAcentral's name for it is "bacterial SSU rRNA". It matches the Rfam family "Bacterial small subunit ribosomal RNA", at positions 355 to 776 of the family's 1533-position model. The record is from RNAcentral.